Molecule: long non-coding RNA, 323 nt
Organism: Calliphora vicina (urban bluebottle blowfly)
Lineage: Eukaryota; Metazoa; Arthropoda; Insecta; Diptera; Calliphoridae
Exons: 2
Source: RefSeq, a predicted model, not a curated record
ACGGCGAUGACGGGGAAAGGCUUCCCGUAGUACUCUCUCACGGAGGUACGGCGAUGACGGAGAAAGGCUUCCCGUAGUACUCUCUCACGGAGGUACGGCGAUGACGGGGAAAGGCUUCCCGUAGGAUUCUCUCCGUUGACCGCGGCACCACCACGGGCGUCAACAAGAGGGAGUACCGGAGUGGGAAGAUGAUUGAGUAAGCUGGGCACGGGUAUAACCACAGAAUCCCACCAAUACUCAAUUACCACAGUUUUAUUAGGUGGCAGAGGUAUAACCCCUUCUCCGACUAAUAAAACCUUUAGUAAAUCUCACCAGAAAAAAAA